This 397-nucleotide ribosomal RNA is filed under the name Oomycota sp. RNAcentral describes it as "Oomycetes sp. partial small subunit ribosomal RNA". It matches the Rfam family "Eukaryotic small subunit ribosomal RNA", at positions 582 to 975 of the family's 1831-position model. The record is from RNAcentral. Lineage: Eukaryota; Oomycota.
AUUCCAGCUCCAAUAGCGUAUAUUAAAGUUGUUGCAGUUAAAAAGCUCGUAGUUGGAUUUCUGUUUUGAAUGUCCGGUCGGUCAGUUUCUGAUGUGUACUUUGGAUAUUCGAAGCAUUUUUUGUGAGGGUCCUUGACUGGCAUUAAGUUGUUGGUUUUGGAAGCUUGCAUCGUUUACUGUGAAAAAAUUAGAGUGUUUCAAGCAGGCGUUUGCUUUUGAAUACAUUAGCAUGGAAUAAUAGGAUAUGACUCGCGUGGUCUAUUUUGUUGGUUUGCACACGCAAGUAAUGAUUAAUAGGGACAGUUGGGGGUAUUCAUAUUUGAGCGUCAGAGGUGAAAUUCUUGGAUCGCUGAAAGAUGAGCUUAGGCGAAAGCAUUUAUCAUGGAUGUUUUCAUUG